GAAGGUAGGCCUUUCGGAGUCGCUAUUCAGGUAGCUAUUCAGGUAGAGGCUUCAAACCACCUUAAGCUGCUGUGGUCAAAAGCUAUGGUGGUGAGCGUUAAGGAAGUGGAAUGAUGU
Non-coding RNA from Caminicella sporogenes DSM 14501, 117 nucleotides. The record is from Rfam. NCBI's taxonomy places the organism in Bacteria, Bacillati, Bacillota, Clostridia, Peptostreptococcales, Caminicellaceae.